UUUAAGACCAUAACACCCUGAACACUCUUGAUAUCAUCUGAUCUCACAAAGCUAAGCAAGGUCAUGACUGGUUAACACCCUCUGAAGGGUACUCCAGUUGCUCAAUAAAU
This 110-nucleotide ribosomal RNA is filed under the name Microtus ochrogaster (prairie vole). The record is from RNAcentral. Lineage: Eukaryota; Metazoa; Chordata; Mammalia; Rodentia; Cricetidae.